CCUACGGGAGACAGCAGUGAGGAAUAUUGGUCAAUGGACGAGAGUCUGAACCAGCCAAGUAGCGUGAAGGAUGACUGCCCUAUGGUUUGUAAACUUCUUUUAUAUGGGAAUAAAAUGUUCCACGUGUGGGAUUUUGUAUGUACCAUAUGAAUAAGGAUCGGCUAAAUCCGUGCCAGCAGCCGCGGUAAUACGGAGGAUCCGCGCGUUCUCCGGAUUUAUUGGGUUUAAAGGGAGCGUAGGUGGAUUGUUAAGUCAGUUGUGAAAGUUUGCGGCUCAACCGUAAAAUUGCAGUUGAAACUGGCAGUCUGGAGUACAGUAGAGGUGGGCGGAAUUCGUGGUGUAGCGGUGAAAUGCUUAGAUAUCACGAAGAACUCCGAUUGCGAAGGCAGUUCACUGGACUGCAACUGACACUGAGGCUCGAAAGUGUGGGUAUCAAACAGGAUUAGAUACCCUUGUAGUC
RNAcentral lists this ribosomal RNA (460 nucleotides) under uncultured bacterium. RNAcentral describes it as "partial 16S ribosomal RNA". It matches the Rfam family "Bacterial small subunit ribosomal RNA", at positions 338 to 795 of the family's 1533-position model. The record is from RNAcentral.